UGGCUCUUGUCUGAAUCUGAUGGGUACUCCGAUGAGUGAGUUCAUUGUGAAAAACCUCAUGUUUACCAAACUUGCGUUUCAGGCUUUGGAUUCGCUGCUCUGCUAUGCAACGGUUAUUUGGCAUGCUGGGAUUUCCUUGCUUGAAAGGUUGCUGUGUUAGAUGAGUCAUACCCUGAGCUCUAACAGAUGGUCCAUCAGCUCUUUCCUUUGGUUGAACAGCCUGUUGCUGGGAAGAAGAUUCAGUUCCCAUCCAUACAUUCAGUCUUUUGCACUUGAUCAGUUGUUCUUCCUGUGCCUCAAGGUCAUGCCUUUUCUGCAGAGCGGCAACCCGUUCUAUGAGAGCAGCCUUUUCUGCCUGAGCUUUAAUGCGAGCAGAAGAUGUUGAAGAUGCAUGUGAGGAAGAACUUGAUUUGUAGUUUGAUUUUUGUUUUGACGCAUUAGAAACACUGUCAUCAGGUCCAAUGUCAUCUGUGUUUACACUUUCAGCAAUGGUGUGUGUCUUAUGCAAUGCAACCUCUGUUAACCACGCACAUUACAUCCUGUAGAAAACCAUCAAAAGUUUCAAUAUUUUGUUGAAACCAGUGAUUUUGCCUUUCUAGUUCAUUUUCAGGCAGUGGUAACUUCACCAGUGACUCAUGAUUUGUUUUGGCUUCAUCACAGAUGUUGAUUAACUUAACCAAGUUAGAUUGCACUUAAUUUGCCUUCUCCUUUGAUUCCAUGAGCUCUUUAAGCAACUCUAUUGAUUUCUUAGCUUGUUUACAUUUCA
Molecule: long non-coding RNA, 766 nt
Organism: Esox lucius (northern pike)
Lineage: Eukaryota; Metazoa; Chordata; Actinopteri; Esociformes; Esocidae
Exons: 3
Source: RefSeq, a predicted model, not a curated record